Felis catus (domestic cat) is the source of this 3047-nucleotide long non-coding RNA. RefSeq lists it as uncharacterized. Lineage: Eukaryota; Metazoa; Chordata; Mammalia; Carnivora; Felidae. The transcript has 3 exons. The record is from RefSeq and is a predicted model, not a curated record.
CCCAACCUACGAAGUUCCCUGACGGCAGGAUCCGCGUCCCAGCACUAGGCCACAAAACCUGGCAGGACUCGGUAUAUAUACAUUUAGUGAAAACAUUAACUGAAGUGCCACCACGCCUCGUCUUAGAACUCUGGGUGGCAGAAAGAGACGUUCUGUCUUCUCUGGUGCAGCCUCCGUCCUAAAACACCCAUGUGCACAGACGGCGGGGGGCUUCUUUUUUUCAGCCUCACUCCCACCUGAAGGGCUAGAGGAGAAUUUCGAAGAGCACGACAGAAAAGGCCUAGACUGCCUCCAAGAGCCCGUGAGAAGAAACACGGACUUGGAGAGCACGGCUGGUGCCGGCUCCAAAGGAAGGGAGGACCUCGCGUUGCUGGGGGUGGAGGAAAGGGACCCUGUCACUUGGCAGGACAUCGCGAUGGGAUCCUGCGGUUCUGUGGGAAGGACUUGCAACGACCGAUGCCCUCGGAUAUUCAACUGAAGGAAAGCCAAGCAAAGUCUUGAAGGUGCUGUCUGGUUUCUCCCUGGUGCUCACAGCAAAACGAGAGAGACAACCUAGUGUGAGAAUUGCGAACAAAGACUCAAUUCUCAGCCUCUCCAGAUGGCAGAAGGUGCUGAAAUCCAGAAACGGCCGCAGAAUGGGGGGUACAGGGAAAAGGAAGCCACACGACCUACUGCUGAAGCCCAGGAAAGCCCUAAAGGCCAAAACGUUCAGUCACAAGAGAGGGAGGCGUGCCUCACGGAUCUUCCCCGAUGCCCAGGCCAGGGACUCGGCUGCAAGGGACAGAGGGUACAGCGAAAGGAGAUGACAGAACCCAAUGUGCUGCUGGCUGAAGGAGGCUGGAAAAUGGCCCAGCUGCGAACACCUUUCAUGAAAAAGGGAGGAAAAUCCAGGCAAGCACCCUCCCAGGGCUGGGGCGUCGGCCCCCUUCCUCCUCACGUCCCCUUGGGAAACCAGACCUGUUUCCUAUGCUGUCCCACACUGUGUGCUGGGAGAGCUGGGGCCACAGACAAGUGGUGUCCAGGAGCCUAAGAAGCCUUGUCCACACCUGAUUUUGCAUAUGAGAAGGAUGUGAGUUUUCGGAGCCAGAGGGCAGACUGGUAGGCAAAAUCCUACAUUAAACCCUGUGAAUUUCCCGCCGAUCCCCUGGGACUGUGAUAUGAUGGGGCAUAAAGACUCUGACAGAUGUCCCAAAAGUUUCUGAUCGAUUGACUUUAAAAUAAGGAGAUAAUCCUGGAUUAUCUGGAUGAGUCUAUUCCAAUCACAGCCCUUAAAAGCAGAACAGGAAAUCGCAGAGACUGUGCAGACUUCAAAGGCGGAAGGGCCUCCAGGAGCAGGGAGGGGUCCCAGCGUACAGCCAGCAAGGAGUCAGAGACCUCGGACCCGUGAGCACCAGGAACUGCAUUCAGCCAACAACCCAAGUGAGCCAAGUGGCUUCUCCCCAGGCUGACGGUCCAGAGCUACUACACAGGGAGAUGAUUCAGCACGUUCGGGCUCCUGACAACUGGCUGCUCACACCUCGCUUUACCAUUUUCACAACAGCAAGUGACGAGAGUCCCACAGAAAACGUCCACAGUGCAAGACGGCGCAGGGCUGAGGUCUGACCAACAGAAGGCAUUAAAUAUGGACAUGUCCCACAAAGAGCCUGGCUGCGAAAGGAGGGAAGUUACUGAGGGACCCAGGCAUGGAGCUGGGGCCCCUCCGGCCACCCCCCAAUUCCCUCUUUCCUGGUGACAGAGACAAGGCAGCUGUGGAACCGAGUGUGCCACACACCGCGUGUCCAGAUGGCCUCUGUGGCAAGUGUUCUUUUCAUGCUGCCGCGGCCCUCAGACAGCAGGGCCGGAGCACAGCACACGCCUCUGCAGAGCUUUCCGGCAAAAGGGACCCUGUGCAUCCGUAGGUGCUGCCUACCCCUACGUUUCACUCUAUCAUUAUUCCGUUAUUACUUUCCAUGUAAUACAACAGAGCUAUCACAACUUACACUGACAGAUGUUAACCUCACAGUAAAACCAAACAAACACGUCCACUUGUCCCCUAAAGCGUAAACUGCCAAUGCAGUGAGAGCCCAAGAUGCCUUUCGGAUUCAACGUGAAUUAUUUAGCCAGUUGGCUCCAGUUCCUAGAACCUCCACAUCUCCCAAGUUAAAGCAGAAACUGACACAAGAAACCACGUCCUCUUAAAGUGAUCAAAAUAUACCACCUGUUUCAUACAUGAAGAUAUUCAAUUACCCAAACUCAACGAUAUAAUCUUCACUAUAAACGUUGGUUUUUACAGCGAGACUUUGAGAGCAGGCCCUACUUCCCUUUGCCUUCAAUGAGGAGGAAGAAAACGGUAGCUCGUUCAGAAGUAAAACAACUAACGACAGCACAGUACUUAAUUCUUCUCUUCCCCUCUAUGUACAGUACACGAUGGUUCUCCAGAUAAAUCUAAGGCUUCCCGAGGCUAGGAACCACGUCUGUUCUCUUUACUGAUGUGUCCUCAGAGCCAAGCAGUACCUGACUCAUACACGGGACCAGUAAAUGUUUAUCGAGUGAAUUUGAACAAUAAGCUUGUAUUCUGAAAUACAAGAAACACAUUAAUGUCACUAAAAAUGUGUUUUGGGACAGUGUGAGCUUAAUCACGUAAUGCUGAGUUCAAACAGACCUGCCCUCAGGGUUGGUGGGGUGCCACUUCUGUCUGACGGGAGGCUCUCAAGCCCCUGCAGCUCAAACACCUGCAGAAAGCAAGGGGCUGCUCACCCAUCUGGGCGGCCAGAUGAGAACCGCACGCGGCACCAAGGGGCCUUCCUAGAAACCUGUACAACCUACCCAGUCUUUCCCCUGGAAAAGCUACCAUUUAUCCAAGCUGCUCCUAAUGCGGGUUACAUGAAUUGUCGUGAUGCUUUCCACAUGGUCUGAACGUUUCACACCCACUGAGGAACCUACAGUUAACUAAAACUCUGUAUGUUUUAUAAAAGUGAAAUGAAGCUAGGAGUCCACUGUAUUUUCUCCAUUUAAAAAAAUGUUCAGGGGCGCCUGGGUGGCUCAGUCGGUUAAGCGUCCGACUUCGG